GACGAACGCUGGCGGCGUGCUUAACACAUGCAAGUCGAACGAAGUGGCGAACGGGUGAGUAACGCGUAAUCAACCUGCCCUUCAGAGGGGGACAACAGUUGGAAACGACUGCUAAUACCGCAUACUGAAGGCGGGUAUUGCGUCUGAUUAGCUAGGUGGAGGGGUAACGGCCCACCAAGGCGAUGAUCAGUAGCCGGUCUGAGAGGAGUAACGGGCAAAUUGGGGCUGAGACACGGUCCAGACUCCUACGGGAGGCAGCAGGGGGGAAUCUUCCGCAAUGGACGAAAGUCUGACGGAGCAACGCCGCGUGAGUGAUGACGGCCGUCGGGUUGGAAAGCUCUGUUAAUCGGGACGCGGUACCGGAAUAGAAAGCCACGGCUAACUACGUGCCAGCAGCCGCGGUAAUUC
RNAcentral lists this ribosomal RNA (408 nucleotides) under uncultured bacterium. RNAcentral's name for it is "partial 16S ribosomal RNA". It matches the Rfam family "Bacterial small subunit ribosomal RNA", at positions 28 to 526 of the family's 1533-position model. The record is from RNAcentral.